Molecule: ribosomal RNA, 1343 nt
Filed under: uncultured bacterium
Lineage: Bacteria
Description: 16S ribosomal RNA
Rfam family: Bacterial small subunit ribosomal RNA
Source: RNAcentral
GACGAACGCUGGCGGCGUGCUUAACACAUGCAAGUCGAACGGAAAGGCCCUGCUUUUGUGGGGUGCUCGAGUGGCGAACGGGUGAGUAACACGUGAGUAACCUGCCCUUGACUUUGGGAUAACUUCAGGAAACUGGGGCUAACACCGGAUAGGAGCUCCUGCUGCAUGGUGGGGGUUGGAAAGUUUCGGCGGUUGGGGAUGGACUCGCGGCUUAUCAGCUUGUUGGUGGGGUAGUGGCUUACCAAGGCUUUGACGGGUAGCCGGCCUGAGAGGGUGACCGGCCACAUUGGGACUGAGAUACGGCCCAGACUCCUACGGGAGGCAGCAGCGGGGAAUAUUGCACAAUGGGCGGAAGCCUGAUGCAGCAACGCCGCGUGCGGGAUGACGGCCUUCGGGUUGUAAACCGCUUUUGCCUGUGACGAAGCGUGAGUGACGGUAAUGGGUAAAGAAGCACCGGCUAACUACGUGCCAGCAGCCGCGGUGAUACGUAGGGUGCGAGCGUUGUCCGGAUUUAUUGGGCGUAAAGGGCUCGUAGGUGGUUGAUCGCGUCGGAAGUGUAAUCUUGGGGCUUAACCCUGAGCGUGCUUUCGAUACGGGUUGACUUGAGGAAGGUAGGGGAGAAUGGAAUUCCUGGUGGAGCGGUGGAAUGCGCAGAUAUCAGGAGGAACACCAGUGGCGAAGGCGGUUCUCUGGGCCUUUCCUGACGCUGAGGAGCGAAAGCGUGGGGAGCGAACAGGCUUAGAUACCCUGGUAGUCCACGCUGUAAACGGUGGGUACUAGGUGUGGGGUCCAUUCCACGGGUUCCGUGCCGUAGCUAACGCUUUAAGUACCCCGCCUGGGGAGUACGGCCGCAAGGCUAAAACUCAAAGGAAUUGACGGGGCCCCGCACAAGCGGCGGAGCAUGCGGAUUAAUUCGAUGCAACGCGUAGAACCUUACCUGGGUUUGACAUGGAUCGGGAGUGCUCAGAGAUGGGUGUGCCUCUUUUGGGGUCGGUUCACAGGUGGUGCAUGGCUGUCGUCAGCUCGUGUCGUGAGAUGUUGGGUUAAGUCCCGCAACGAGCGCAACCCUUGUUCACUGUUGCCAGCACGUUAUGGUGGGGACUCAGUGGAGACCGCCGGGGUCAACUCGGAGGAAGGUGGGGAUGACGUCAAGUCAUCAUGCCCCUUAUGUCCAGGGCUUCACGCAUGCUACAAUGGCUGGUACAGAGAGUGGCGAGCCUGUGAGGGUGAGCGAAUCUCGGAAAGCCGGUCUCAGUUCGGAUUGGGGUCUGCAACUCGACCUCAUGAAGUCGGAGUCGCUAGUAAUCGCAGAUCAGCAACGCUGCGGUGAAUACGUUCCCGGG